RNAcentral lists this transfer RNA (147 nucleotides) under Penicillium decumbens. It matches the Rfam family "tRNA". Rfam says of the family: Transfer RNA (tRNA) molecules are approximately 80 nucleotides in length. Their secondary structure includes four short double-helical elements and three loops (D, anti-codon, and T loops). Lineage: Eukaryota; Fungi; Ascomycota; Eurotiomycetes; Eurotiales; Aspergillaceae. The record is from Rfam by way of RNAcentral.
GUCAGUUUGGCCGAGUGGUUAAGGCGAUUGACUCGAACAUAUAGGAUGAAAACCUGUUAAUUAGGACUUAACCAGUUAACUAGGUUCGCCUACAUCUUCAUCAAUCAAUUGGGUUCGCCCGCACAGGUUCGAAUCCUGUAGCUGACG